UACGUAGGGUGCGAGCGUUGUCCGGAAUUAUUGGGCGUAAAGAGCGUGUAGGCGGCCAGGUAGGUCCGCUGUGAAAACUCGAGGCUCAACCUCGAGAUGUCGGCGGAAACCAUCUGGCUAGAGUCCGGAAGAGGAGAGUGGAAUUCCUGGUGUAGCGGUGAAAUGCGCAGAUAUCAGGAAGAACACCCGUGGCGAAGGCGGCUCUCUGGGACGGUACUGACGCUGAGACGCGAAAGCGUGGGGAGCAAACGGG
This 253-nucleotide ribosomal RNA is filed under the name uncultured bacterium. RNAcentral's name for it is "partial 16S ribosomal RNA". It matches the Rfam family "Bacterial small subunit ribosomal RNA", at positions 524 to 776 of the family's 1533-position model. The record is from RNAcentral.